CCCCCAGUAACUGCGAGUGAAGAGGGAAGAGCUCAUCAUUGGAAUCUGGCAGCGUUGCGCUGUCCGAGUUGUAGAUGAGAAGAGUAGGUCAUCUGGACUGCGUGGUGUCCAAGUACAAUAGGCCGUCAGUGGGACAUCAUAGAGGGUGACAAUCCCGUCCUUGACAACCAACGUACGAGUCCAUUACGAUGCCUAUCUCAGAGAGUCGAGCAGUUUGGGAUUUGCUGCUUAAACAUGGGAGGUAGAUUCCUUCUAAAGCUAAAUACAGGCAAGAGACCGAUAGAGAACAAGUACCGCAAGGGAAAGAUGAAAUAGAACUCUGUGAAGGGAGUCAAAAAGACGUGAAAUUGUUGCGAGAGAAGCGAUUCAAGUCAGCGUAGCUAGGCCCAUCAAGCUUCUUGCUUUGGACUAGCUUUGCCAGCGGUCUUGUCCUUUUAGAGACUUGACUUUUGACGUGCCCUGUCCGGUCUAACGGGCAGGCCCUUCGGGGCCAGUGGCAUGGCUGGUGGAAUGGCUUGCAAUCGACCCGUCUUGAAACACGGACCAAGGAGUCUAACAUGUGUGCGAGUAUAAGGGUGGCAAACCCGUAUGCGCAAAGAAAGUGAUAGCCUUUUUAUGGCUGAGAAUGGCCUGAUGACCAGACAAGCAAUAUUAUGUUCCUCGUACGGUCAUUGCCCAAGUCCCGUGGUCAGAUCCCAUGGACAUGGAGUUAGAGCAUACAUGCUAGGACCCGAAAGAUGGUGAACUAUGCCUGGACAAAGCGAAGCCAAAGGAAACUCUGGUGGAGGCUUGUAGCGAUUCUGACGUGCAAAUCGAUCGUCUGAUCUGGGUAUAGGGGCGAAAGACUAAUCGAACCAUCUCAUAGCUGGUUCCUGC
RNAcentral lists this ribosomal RNA (876 nucleotides) under Cantharellus chrysanthus. RNAcentral's name for it is "Cantharellus sp. MZ-2022a partial large subunit ribosomal RNA". It matches the Rfam family "Eukaryotic large subunit ribosomal RNA", at positions 77 to 961 of the family's 3401-position model. The record is from RNAcentral. Lineage: Eukaryota; Fungi; Basidiomycota; Agaricomycetes; Cantharellales; Hydnaceae.